CGAAAUUCGAUACGUAAUGUGAAUUGCAGAAUUCAGUGAAUCAUCGAAUCUUUGAACGCAUAUUGCG
Molecule: ribosomal RNA, 67 nt
Filed under: uncultured Mortierella
Lineage: Eukaryota; Fungi; Mortierellomycota; Mortierellomycetes; Mortierellales; Mortierellaceae
Description: partial 5.8S ribosomal RNA
Rfam family: 5.8S ribosomal RNA
About the family: 5.8S ribosomal RNA (5.8S rRNA) is a component of the large subunit of the eukaryotic ribosome. It is transcribed by RNA polymerase I as part of the 45S precursor that also contains 18S and 28S rRNA. Functionally, it is thought that 5.8S rRNA may be involved in ribosome translocation.
Source: RNAcentral